UGGGGGAUAUUGCACAAUGGGCGAAAGCCUGAUGCAGCGACGCCGCGUGGGGGAUGAAGGCUUUCGGGUUGUAAACCUCUUUCGCUAUCGAACAAGGCCCGCUUAGGGUGGGUUGAGGGUAGGUGGAGAAGAAGCGCCGGCUAACUACGUGCCAGCAGCCGCGGUAAUACGUAGGGCGCGAGCGUUGUCCGGAAUUAUUGGGCGUAAAGGGCUUGUAGGCGGCUUGUUGCGCCUGCUGUGAAAACGCGGGGCUUAACUUCGCGCGUGGCGUGGGUACGGGCAGGCUUGAGUGUGGUAGGGGUGACUGGAAUUCCAGGUGUAGCGGUGGAAUGCGCAGAUAUCUGGAGGAACACCGAUGGCGAAGGCAGGUCACUGGGCCAUUACUGACGCUGAGGAGCGAAAGCAUGGGUAGCGAACAGG
RNAcentral lists this ribosomal RNA (420 nucleotides) under bacterium. RNAcentral describes it as "partial 16S ribosomal RNA". It matches the Rfam family "Bacterial small subunit ribosomal RNA", at positions 355 to 776 of the family's 1533-position model. The record is from RNAcentral.